AUUGAACGCUGGCGGCAGGCCUAACACAUGCAAGUCGAGCGGAUGAAGGGAGCUUGCUCCUGGAUUCAGCGGCGGACGGGUGAGUAAUGCCUAGGAAUCUGCCUGGUAGUGGGGGAUAACGUCCGGAAACGGGCGCUAAUACCGCAUACGUCCUGAGGGAGAAAGUGGGGGAUCUUCGGACCUCACGCUAUCAGAUGAGCCUAGGUCGGAUUAGCUAGUUGGUGGGGCAAAGGCCUACCAAGGCGACGAUCCGUAACUGGUCUGAGAGGAUGAUCAGUCACACUGGAACUGAGACACGGUCCAGACUCCUACGGGAGGCAGCAGUGGGGAAUAUUGGACAAUGGGCGAAAGCCUGAUCCAGCCAUGCCGCGUGUGUGAAGAAGGUCUUCGGAUUGUAAAGCACUUUAAGUUGGGAGGAAGGGCAGUAAGUUAAUACCUUGCUGCUUUGACGUUACCAACAGAAUAAGCACCGGCUAACUUCGUG
This 484-nucleotide ribosomal RNA is filed under the name uncultured bacterium. Its description in RNAcentral is "partial 16S ribosomal RNA". It matches the Rfam family "Bacterial small subunit ribosomal RNA", at positions 30 to 507 of the family's 1533-position model. The record is from RNAcentral.